GUGGCGAACGGGUGAGUAACACGUGAGUAACCUGCCCUUGACUCUGGGAUAAGCGUUGGAAACGACGUCUAAUACCGGAUACGACCAGCCCCGGCAUCGGGUGUUGGUGGAAAGAAUUUUGGUCAAGGAUGGACUCGCGGCCUAUCAGGUAGUUGGUGAGGUAAUGGCUCACCAAGCCUACGACGGGUAGCCGGCCUGAGAGGGUGACCGGCCACACUGGGACUGAGACACGGCCCAGACUCCUACGGGAGGCAGCAGUGGGGAAUAUUGCACAAUGGGCGAAAGCCUGAUGCAGCAACGCCGCGUGAGGGACGACGGCCUUCGGGUUGUAAACCUCUUUUAGCAGGGAAGAAGCGAAAGUGACGGUACCUGCAGAAAAAGCACCGGCUAACUACGUGCCAGCAGCCGCGGUAAUACGUAGGGUGCAAGCGUUGUCCGGAAUUAUUGGGCGUAAAGAGCUCGUAGGCGGUUUGUCGCGUCUGCUGUGAAAACCCGAGGCUCAACCUCGGGCCUGCAGUGGGUACGGGCAGACUAGAGUGCGGUAGGGGAGAUUGGAAUUCCUGGUGUAGCGGUGGAAU
This 578-nucleotide ribosomal RNA is filed under the name Mycetocola sp. I14A-00903. RNAcentral's name for it is "bacterial SSU rRNA". It matches the Rfam family "Bacterial small subunit ribosomal RNA", at positions 95 to 687 of the family's 1533-position model. The record is from RNAcentral. Lineage: Bacteria; Bacillati; Actinomycetota; Actinomycetes; Micrococcales; Microbacteriaceae.